UAUGCUAGGUGUCCGAGCUUCAUGUAAACCAUCAUGUAAACCACCUGGUUAAAAAACCAGGCUCUGGCUUUAAAUUCUGAUGUUUUCAAGGAUUUUAAGCCCCCAGUGUUUCCUCUUCAUAUACUAAGUUCUCCAGUCUGCAUUUUAAUUAAAAUGGUAAUUUCUAUUAAAAACAAAACCAGCCUCCGAUUGAGGCCAAAUGUAAACAUGGCCCCGUGUGCCCUAUAUGGUGGACCCUGUCACUUCCUCACUGCCCUUUCCCACCCACUCCCCUUCCCUUCUAACAGAACCCAAUUUUUUUGCAGGUGGCGACUGGAGAUACUCUAAUCUCAAGAAAGAUAGGACCUUCCACUAGCUCCUGAGGAAAGUCACGAUUGGUUUAAAUCCAACUCGGGAUUCUUGGUACGGAGCUUUGCUCUUGCUCAGUGAAGUUCCAGACUAACCUUGGGGGCACUGCCCUGGAUUUACUGGGAUUUCUUCAGUUGCAAGUUAAACCCACUCCAAACUAGCUCAGUUUAAAAGAGAAUUUAUUGACUCACAAAACUGAAAAAGCCCAAGUUGCGUCUGGCUCCAGGCAAAGCUGGAUUCCAGGACUCUGACCCCUUUCCCCUCUACAUGGCCUUGCUGUUUCUCCUUGGGACAGUCCCUGGCCUCUCCGGGCUUCGAGUCCAACCUGCACAAGGAGAGAAGACAGGAGAAGAUGACUCAGGGGUCUUUCCAGGUCAGAUGCCCUGGGUUCCACUAUUUUAUCAUUUUUAAGUCCUGGGAAGAAUUCCAAUGUAAAUAUCACCAGUGAUGGAAAUCUGAGGGAAGGAGAGGAGGAUGAAAGACUAAUUGAGGCCCAGAAGAGUGUCAGUUCCUCAUUAACUGCGGAGCCAUGGAAAAUUCUUUGUUCCUGCCUGUUGGCUUCUUGCCUUCAGGAUCUGGGUGGGUAUUGCCCUUGGCCAGCUUCCUGGUCAGGUCACAGACAGUUUGACCAGAGAGGGAGUGUCCUGGGGAAGAUAGGGCAGAACCAGGCUGGGUCCUUGGAAGUGGACACAAGUAAAAGAUGGGUUCUGAGGAUCUACGGCCCAGUAGGCCCAUGCUGGCCACUGUAGAUACACCAGCUCACUUAGCACUUAGAAUGACCUGUGGGUUUAGGUCUACUAUGUUGUCCAUUUUACAGAUGAGAAAACUGGGGCUCAGAGAGGUGAAGUCACUUGUCCCAGGUCACACAGCAGAGCUGAGAUUAAAAACUAAAGCGUAUGGUCUCCUCAGGUGGGGUUCUUUCCCCAGUCAAUGGUGACUGCGAUCCCAGGGACCUUGGAGUGGAUGCUGAUGGCACGUUGGGGACCCUGGUCCCUCCUCAGAGCUUUCACCAGGUUGUAUAACUCAGUGGUCAUGAGCAGGGGCUUUGAGUCAGAGCCAACUUAGGAAACUAGCCCUGCAUUGCCUAGGGACCCAGCACAAGCAGAAUAGCACAGUGGUUAAAAGCCUGGGCUCUGAGGCCAAAUGGCCCGGGUUCAAAGCUCUGCUCUCCUAUGUAUCAACUGUGUGGCUCUUACCUCAUUGGGCAGCUCUAUAAAGCAGGGGUGUAAAGAACCUCCUCUAAAGUGUAAGGGGUGUAAGGAC
Non-coding RNA from Kogia breviceps (pygmy sperm whale), 1611 nucleotides. NCBI's taxonomy places the organism in Eukaryota, Metazoa, Chordata, Mammalia, Artiodactyla, Physeteridae. The record is from RefSeq and is a predicted model, not a curated record.